RNAcentral lists this ribosomal RNA (422 nucleotides) under uncultured archaeon. Its description in RNAcentral is "bacterial SSU rRNA". It matches the Rfam family "Archaeal small subunit ribosomal RNA", at positions 459 to 881 of the family's 1478-position model. The record is from RNAcentral.
CAGCCGCCGCGGUAAAACCAGCACCUCAAGUGGUCAGGAUGAUUAUUGGGCCUAAAGCAUCCGUAGCCCGUUUUGUAGUUUUCGGUUAAAUCCAUGCGCUUAACGUAUGGGCUGCCGGGAAUACUGCAUAACUAGGAAGUGGGAGAGGUAGACGGUACUCGGUAGGAAGGGGUAAAAUCCUUUGAUCUAUUGAUGACCACCUGUGGCGAAGGCGGCCUACCAGAACACGUUCGACGGUGAGGGAUGAAAGCUGGGGGAGCAAACCGGAUUAGAUACCCGGGUAGUCCCAGCUGUAAACUAUGCAAACUCAGUGAUGCAUUGGCUUAUGGCCAAUGCAGUGCUGCAGGGAAGCCGUUAAGUUUGCCGCCUGGGAAGUACGUACGCAAGUAUGAAACUUAAAGGAAUUGGCGGGGGGAGCACCA